RNAcentral lists this ribosomal RNA (386 nucleotides) under uncultured bacterium. Its description in RNAcentral is "bacterial SSU rRNA". It matches the Rfam family "Bacterial small subunit ribosomal RNA", at positions 335 to 700 of the family's 1533-position model. The record is from RNAcentral.
ACUCCUACGGGAGGCAGCAGUGGGGGAAUAUUGCACAAUGGGGGGAAACCCUGAUGCAGCCAUGCCGCGUGUGUGAAGAAGGCCUUCGGGUUGUAAAGCACUUUCAGUAGGGAGGAAGGUAGUGUAGUUAACACCUGCAUUAUUUGUACGUUACCUACAGAAGAAGCACCGGCUAACUCCGUGCCAGCAGCCGCGGUAAGUACGGAGGGUGCGAGCGUUAAUCGGAAUUACGUGGGCGUAAAGCGCAUGCAGGCGGCCUGUUAAGUCAGAUGUGAAACGCCCGGGGGUCUUAACCGUCGGAAUUUGCUAUUUGAAAACUGGCAGGCUAGAGUCUUGUAGAGGGGUUAGAAUUUCGAGGUGUAGCGGUGAAAGUGCGUAGAGAUCUG